This 77-nucleotide transfer RNA is filed under the name Clostridiales bacterium. RNAcentral describes it as "tRNA-Val". It matches the Rfam family "tRNA". From Rfam's summary of the family: Transfer RNA (tRNA) molecules are approximately 80 nucleotides in length. Their secondary structure includes four short double-helical elements and three loops (D, anti-codon, and T loops). Further hydrogen bonds mediate the characteristic L-shaped molecular structure. tRNAs have two regions of fundamental functional importance: the anti-codon, which is responsible for specific mRNA codon recognition, and the 3' end, to which the tRNAs corresponding amino acid is attached (by aminoacyl-tRNA synthetases). tRNAs cope with the degeneracy of the genetic code in two manners: having more than one tRNA (with a specific anti-codon) for a particular amino acid; and 'wobble' base-pairing, i.e. permitting non-standard base-pairing at the 3rd anti-codon position. The record is from RNAcentral. Lineage: Bacteria; Bacillati; Bacillota; Clostridia; Eubacteriales. RNAcentral also lists the same sequence under 1 other name.
GCUCCGUUGGCUCAGUUGGUUAGAGCACCGUGUUCACAUCGCGGGGGUCGCUGGUUCGAGUCCAGCACGGAGCACCA